CCUACGGGUGGCAGUAGUGAGGAAUAUUGGUCAAUGGACGAGAGUCUGAACCAGCCAAGUAGCGUGAAGGAUGACUGCCCUAUGGGUUGUAAACUUCUUUUAUAUGGGAAUAAAACGUUCCACGUGUGGGAUUUUGUAUGUACCAUAUGAAUAAGGAUCGGCUAACUCCGUGCCAGCAGCCGCGGUAAUACGGAGGAUCCGAGCGUUCUCCGGAUUUAUUGGGUUUAAAGGGAGCGUAGGUGGAUUGUUAAGUCAGUUGUGAAAGUUUGCGGCUCAACCGUAAAAUUGCAGUUGAAACUAGCAGUCUUGAGUACAGUAGAGGUGGGCGGAAUUCGUGGUGUAGCGGUGAAAUGCUUAGAUAUCACGAAGAACUCCGAUUGCGAAGGCAGUUCACUGGACUGCAACUGACACUGAGGCUCGAAAGUGUGGGUAUCAAACAGGAUUAGAUACCCGAGUAGUC
RNAcentral lists this ribosomal RNA (460 nucleotides) under uncultured bacterium. Its description in RNAcentral is "partial 16S ribosomal RNA". It matches the Rfam family "Bacterial small subunit ribosomal RNA", at positions 338 to 795 of the family's 1533-position model. The record is from RNAcentral.